CGUGUAGGCGGCCUGAUGUGUCAGAUGUGAAAGCCCUGGGCUUAACCCAGGAAGUGCAUUUGAAACUGUCAGGCUUGAGUAGGGGAGAGGGAAGUGGAAUUCCUGGUGUAGAGGUGAAAUUCGUAGAUAUCAGGAGGAACACCGGUGGCGAAGGCGACUUCCUGGCCCUAUACUGACGCUGAGACGCGAGAGCGUGGGUAGCAAACAGGAUUAGAUACCCUGGUAGUCCACGCCGUAAACGAUGUUCACUAGGUGUUGGGGGUAUUGACCCCCUCAGUGCCGGAGCUAACGCAUUAAGUGAACCGCCUGGGGAGUACGGUCGCAAGACUAAA
Molecule: ribosomal RNA, 332 nt
Filed under: uncultured Smithella sp.
Lineage: Bacteria; Pseudomonadati; Thermodesulfobacteriota; Syntrophia; Syntrophales; Smithellaceae
Description: bacterial SSU rRNA
Rfam family: Bacterial small subunit ribosomal RNA
Source: RNAcentral